RNAcentral lists this ribosomal RNA (695 nucleotides) under uncultured Bacteroides sp. Its description in RNAcentral is "bacterial SSU rRNA". It matches the Rfam family "Bacterial small subunit ribosomal RNA", at positions 32 to 716 of the family's 1533-position model. The record is from RNAcentral. Lineage: Bacteria; Pseudomonadati; Bacteroidota; Bacteroidia; Bacteroidales; Bacteroidaceae.
AACGCUAGCUACAGGCUUAACACAUCCAAGUCGAGGGGUAACGAGAGGAAAGCUUGCUUUCCUUGUCGACGACCGGCGCACAGGUGAGUAACGCGUAUCCAACCUGCCCCCAACUAGGGAAUAACCUUGCGAAAGUAAGACUAAUACCCUAUAAUUUCCUCAGAUGUCAUCUGACGAGGAAUAAAGAUUUAUCGGUUGUGGAUGGGGAUGCGUCUGAUUAGCUUGUUGGCGGGGUAACGGCCCACCAAGGCAACGAUCAGUAGGGGUUCUGAGAGGAAGGUCCCCCACAUUGGAACUGAGACACGGUCCAAACUCCUACGGGAGGCAGCAGUGAGGAAUAUUGGUCAAUGGGCGGAAGCCUGAACCAGCCAAGUAGCGUGCAGGAUGACGGCCCUAUGGGUUGUAAACUGCUUUUAUACAGGAAUAAAGUUAGCCACGUGUGGUUAUUUGUAGGUACUGUAUGAAUAAGGACCGGCUAAUUCCGUGCCAGCAGCCGCGGUAAUACGGAAGGUCCAGGCGUUAUCCGGAUUUAUUGGGUUUAAAGGGAGCGUAGGCCGUCUGUUAAGCGUGUUGUGAAAUGUAGAUGCUCAACACCUGAAUUGCAGCGCGAACUGGCAGACUUGAGUGUGCGCAACGUAUGCGGAAUUCGUGGUGUAGCGGUGAAAUGCUUAGAUAUCACGAAGAACUCCGAUUGA